UGUGUAAUCUUGGCACCAGAAGCCUAACUUGAGUUCUGUACGUGAAAGGGAAUUGAUAUUGUCAUUGAUGUGAAAUGGGGAAACAUCAUACCGCUCCAAGACAACGGCAAGGAAAAAUCUUCCACCACCCGAAGAUGACGAGAAAACUUCGUUGCAGUACUUACGGACUAAAGCGCGCAUUAUGAUAAACCUUGAUAGAUCCCACCGAUUCUGAUCAGGGAGGGAAAGAUAAAAAAUGGUAAUAGAUGGGAGAUAUCUGACUCUCUUUAAACAAGCAAUUGAAAACUUUGAAUUUGUAAUAACUUAGGAUUUUGCUAC
RNAcentral lists this long non-coding RNA (318 nucleotides) under Elaeis guineensis (African oil palm). RNAcentral describes it as "long non-coding RNA (EGUI_LNC030343)". Lineage: Eukaryota; Viridiplantae; Streptophyta; Magnoliopsida; Arecales; Arecaceae. The record is from RNAcentral.